AGCUCCGUCCGCCUCCAUAGGUCAAACUUAAAGGGCCCUUAAUCUGGGAUGCCUCCGGCUCCAGGAAGAUGGCUAUUGAAAGGCAGGGGGUGGGGAGAAGGGACCGAGGAUGUGGAGACGCGCCUGUUCCUUGCAGGAAACCUGUUGCCAACAUAGUCGGAAGCCAAGCCCUCCCGGAGCCGGUGCCGGCCCGCGAGCCCCAGCGUCUCUGCAGACCGGUCCCCUCCCGGGUCCGGCGGGGCCCGUGCGGUGGGAGGAGUCGCGCACUGGCCGGCGACUAACUGGGGUCCGACUGCUGACCAAGAUAGGAGGGACCCGGACCACGGAGACAGAGACCCCGGCAUCACGACCCCCGAGGACCUCCUCUCCUCGCCCUGUGGCACCCACUAGUCCUGGACACUCAGCCGCGGAGAGCCCCCGACCCCGUGCUCCCAGCCCCGGGGGAGCCCGCCUCCGCCCCGCGGCCCGCCCGGGCCAUGCUCCCCCGGGGCA
RNAcentral lists this small RNA (492 nucleotides) under Pongo abelii (Sumatran orangutan). RNAcentral's name for it is "processed transcript". The record is from RNAcentral. Lineage: Eukaryota; Metazoa; Chordata; Mammalia; Primates; Hominidae.